RNA transcript from Labeo rohita (rohu), 1318 nucleotides. It is a transcript of the gene named COP9 constitutive photomorphogenic homolog subunit 7A, with no coding region annotated. NCBI's taxonomy places the organism in Eukaryota, Metazoa, Chordata, Actinopteri, Cypriniformes, Cyprinidae. The record is from RefSeq and is a predicted model, not a curated record. The transcript is spliced from 9 exons.
CCUCUACCUCUCCGCCAAUCAGAGAGCACGUUUUCAUGUCGCAGCACGUUUGCUAACGGAAGUAGCAGUGGCACCACAGUUGACACAAACAACCUCAGUCUUUAUAAAUAAGAUGGAGGUGGAUCAGCUGUUGUCUCUCUCAGGUUCAGCUCUGGCUCAGGCCAUCAGCUCUCUGCUGGAAACCCCAGGCCUUUACGUUUUCUCAGACAUACUAGAACUGCCCAACGUCCGUGAGCUGGAGACCGGUCCCCACGCUCCAGUGUACCAGCUUCUCAAUCUUUUUGCGUAUGGAACCUACUGCGACUAUAAAGAGAGGGCAGCCUCACUUCCUGAACUCACACCCGCCCAGAAGAACAAACUCCGUCACCUGUCAAUCAUCAGCCUGGCCUCCAAUCUAAAGUGUCUCCCGUAUUCACUACUGCUCCAGCAGCUGGAGUUGAAGAAUGUGCGUGAGCUGGAAGACCUGCUGAUCGAGGCUGUUUACAGUGAUAUUAUCCAUGGGAAACUGGACCAGAGGAAUCAGCAGGUCGAGGUAGACUGCAGCAUAGGUCGAGACCUGGGCCCCAACGAACUACCCAACAUUGCCAACACACUACAGGAGUGGUGUGCAGGUUGUGAAGCAGUUCUGUGUGGCAUUGAGGAGCAGGUGUCCAGAGCCAAUCAGUACAGAGAAAGCCAGCUCAAGGUCAAAGUUCAAGUGGAAACAGAGGUAUCAAACCUACAAAAAACCCUCAAGGCAAGUUCUGCUUCCCCAUCAUCUGGCCCCGCCCCUGCUGGAGCAGCAUCCAAUCAAGAUGCAGACCAGCCGGCUGAGCCAAGAGACCCUGCCUCAUCUCAGGAACCACGGCAACCAGGAAAAAAGAGUUCAAAGGUCAAAGGAGGAUCCACUGGUGAGCAAGUGUUAUAAAGCUACAUUUCUUCAAAGCUGUUCCCAUUUUUGUUUGAGAAACAAACUCAUCUACAUCUUGAAAGGCCUGAGGGCUUCGUGGGAGCGGGAAGAUUUGGUCAAAGUCUAAUUGAUCUCAAGCCCCGAGUUCAAUCUUCAGUAACCUUUUACUCACAGACAGACAUAUUGUGGACUGCUUGCUUGGAUAGAUAAAUAAACCAAACAUCACUUCUCAGACACAAACCGUCAUCAUAAUUUAACACAGAUAUAACUUUUACACAACACUGGGUGCGUGUUUCUGUACGUGUGUGCUGUAAAUGUCAUUUAAUUUGACUCAUACUCCUUUUCCUUCUCGUGUUUGUUUUGUUUCGUUUCGUUAUUAAAUCUGGAUGUAAAUUGAUGAAGCCAAUGAAUAAAUGAUAUCCAUCUGUC